Gossypium arboreum is the source of this 382-nucleotide long non-coding RNA. RefSeq lists it as uncharacterized. NCBI's taxonomy places the organism in Eukaryota, Viridiplantae, Streptophyta, Magnoliopsida, Malvales, Malvaceae. The transcript is spliced from 2 exons. The record is from RefSeq and is a predicted model, not a curated record.
AAUAUGAAGCUUUAUUAAAAGAAAAGGGUGAAAAGAACAAAGUUUUGUCCAUCUUUGUUCAUCAUAGCUGAAAGUUAGAGAAGAGAAAGGAGAGGAGAAAGCUCUUGAGUAUUCGGUCAUUAGGAGGAGGAAAAUUGAAGGAAAUCCCCAACCAUAGUGGGCUUGGAGCUGUGAGGGAAUUCGGAGUGACCACCCGUUCUGAAAGUUUGAUUUUCUUCUGGUGAACUGGACAUCCUUUUAAUUACGUUUGAGGUUUUGGGCUUUUAAAUGUAAUAAGGCCGCUUAUUUAUUUUUGAUGGUUUUUAAUAUGUAUUACUAAGAUAGGUAAUACUUAUUUUAACUGUUGAAAUUGGAUAGCUUUAGGGCGCGUUUUCAAAAACAA